UAGGUAUAGUUAAUCUGCCCUACACAAGAGGACAACAGUUGGAAACGACUGCUAAUACUCUAUACUCCUGCUUAACACAAGUUGAGUAGGGAAAGUUUUUCGGUGUAGGAUGAGACUAUAUAGUAUCAGCUAGUUGGUAAGGUAAUGGCUUACCAAGGCUAUGACGCUUAACUGGUCUGAGAGGAUGAUCAGUCACACUGGAACUGAGACACGGUCCAGACUCCUACGGGAGGCAGCAGUAGGGAAUAUUGCGCAAUGGGGGAAACCCUGACGCAGCAACGCCGCGUGGAGGAUGACACUUUUCGGAGCGUAAACUCCUUUUCUUAGGGAAGAAUUCUGACGGUACCUAAGGAAUAAGCACCGGCUAACUCCGUGCCAGCAGCCGCGGUAAUACGGAGGGUGCAAGCGUUACUCGGAAUCACUGGGCGUAAAGGGCGCGUAGGCGGAUUAUCAAGUCUCUUGUGAAAUCUAAUGGCUUAACCAUUAAACUGCUUGGGAAACUGAUAGUCUAGAGUGAGGGAGAGGCAGAUGGAAUUGGUGGUGUAGGGGUAAAAUCCGUAGAUAUCACCAAGAAUACCCAUUGCGAAGGCGAUCUGCUGGAACUCAACUGACGCUAAGGCGCGAAAGCGUGGGGAGCAAACAGGAUUAGAUACCCUGGUAGUCCACGCCCUAAACGAUGUACACUAGUUGUUGGGGUGCUAGUCAUCUCAGUAAUGCAGCUAACGCAUUAAGUGUACCGCCUGGGGAGUACGGUCGCAAGAUUAAAACUCAAAGGAAUAGACGGGGACCCGCACAAGCGGUGGAGCAUGUGGUUUAAUUCGAAGAUACGCGAAGAACCUUACCUGGGCUUGAUAUCCUAAGAACCUUUUAGAGAUAAGAGGGUGCUAGCUUGCUAGAACUUAGAGACAGGUGCUGCACGGCUGUCGUCAGCUCGUGUCGUGAGAUGUUGGGUUAAGUCCCGCAACGAGCGCAACCCACGUAUUUAGUUGCUAACGGUUCGGCCGAGCACUCUAAAUAGACUGCCUUCGUAAGGAGGAGGAAGGUGUGGACGACGUCAAGUCAUCAUGGCCCUUAUGCCCAGGGCGACACACGUGCUACAAUGGCAUAUACAAUGAGACGCAAUACCGCGAGGUGGAGCAAAUCUAUAAAAUAUGUCCCAGUUCGGAUUGUUCUCUGCAACUCGAGAGCAUGAAGCCGGAAUCGCUAGUAAU
Molecule: ribosomal RNA, 1211 nt
Filed under: Campylobacter jejuni
Lineage: Bacteria; Pseudomonadati; Campylobacterota; Epsilonproteobacteria; Campylobacterales; Campylobacteraceae
Description: bacterial SSU rRNA
Rfam family: Bacterial small subunit ribosomal RNA
Source: RNAcentral